AGAGUUUGAUCCUGGCUCAGGACGAACGCUGGCGGCGUGCCUAACACAUGCAAGUCGAACGGGGAGUUAUUUAUAACUCCUAGUGGCGAACGGGUGAGUAACGCGUAGACAACCUGCCUCUAAAUUGGGGACAACACCGCGAAAGUGGUGCUAAUACCGAAUGUGGUAUCUUGGUCGCAUGACUAGGAUAAGAAAGGUGGCCUCUAUUUAUAAGCUACCGAUUAGAGAUGGGUCUGCGUCUGAUUAGCUAGUUGGUGAGGUAAUGGCUCACCAAGGCAACGAUCAGUAGCCGGUCUGAGAGGAUGCAACGGCCACACUGGGACUGAGACACGGCCCAGACUCCUACGGGAGGCAGCAGUGGGGAAUCUUCCGCAAUGGACGAAAGUCUGACGGAGCAACGCCGCGUGAGUGAAGAAGGUCUUCGGAUUGUAAAGCUCUGUCGUUUGGGACGAACGUGGGAUGUGUGAAUAAUGCAUUCUAAUGACGGUACCGAAGGAGGAAGCCACGGCUAACUACGUGCCAGCAGCCGCGGUAAUACGUAGGUGGCAAGCGUUGUCCGGAAUUAUUGGGCGUAAAGGGCGUGUAGGUGGAUUUUUAAGUCGUGUGUCUAAGUGCGGGGCUCAACCCCGUAUAGGCGCAGGAAACUGGGAAUCUUGAGUGCAGGAGAGGAAAGUGGAAUUCCCAGUGUAGCGGUGAAAUGCGUAGAUAUUGGGAGGAACACCAGUGGCGAAGGCGACUUUCUGGACUGUGUCUGACACUGAGGCGCGAAAGCUAGGGGAGCGAACGGGAUUAGAUACCCCGGUAGUCCUAGCCGUAAACGAUGGGUACUAGGUGUAGAGGGUAUCGACCCCUUCUGUGCCGCAAGCUAACGCAAAUAAGUACCCCCGGCCUGGGGAGUACGGCCAGCAAGGUUUUGAAACUCAAAGGAAUUGACGGGGGCCCGCACAAGCGGUGGAGUAUGUGGUUUAAUUCGACGCAACGCGGAAGAACCUUACCAGGGCUUGACAUUGAGUGAAAGACUAAGAGAUUAGUUCCUAUCUUCGGAUACACGAAAACAGGUGGUGCAUGGCUGUCGUCAGCUCGUGUCGUGAGAUGUUGGGUUAAGUCCCACAACGAGCGCAACCCUUAUCCUUUGUUGCCAGCGAGUAAUGUCGGGAACUCAAGGGAGACUGCCGUCGACAAGACGGAGGAAGGCGGGGAUGACGUCAAGUCAUCAUGCCCCUUAUGUCCUGGGCUACACAGGUACUACAAUGGGCUUAAACAAAGCGAAGCAAGACCGCGAGGUCAAGCAAAACGCAUAAACAAGCUCUCAGUUCGGAUCGGAGGCUGCAACUCGCCUCCGUGAAGUCGGAAUCGCUAGUAAUCGCAGGUCAGCAUACUGCGGUGAAUACGUUCCCGGGCCUUGUACACUCCGCCC
RNAcentral lists this ribosomal RNA (1417 nucleotides) under uncultured bacterium. Its description in RNAcentral is "bacterial SSU rRNA". It matches the Rfam family "Bacterial small subunit ribosomal RNA". The record is from RNAcentral.